GGGCGAUUGGCUCAGUGGUAGAGCGCUACCUUGACACGGUAGAGGUCACUGGUUCGAACCCAGUAUCGCCCACCG
This 75-nucleotide transfer RNA is filed under the name Geodermatophilus normandii. RNAcentral describes it as "tRNA-Val". It matches the Rfam family "tRNA". Rfam says of the family: Transfer RNA (tRNA) molecules are approximately 80 nucleotides in length. Their secondary structure includes four short double-helical elements and three loops (D, anti-codon, and T loops). The record is from RNAcentral. Lineage: Bacteria; Bacillati; Actinomycetota; Actinomycetes; Geodermatophilales; Geodermatophilaceae.